This 253-nucleotide ribosomal RNA is filed under the name uncultured bacterium. RNAcentral describes it as "partial 16S ribosomal RNA". It matches the Rfam family "Bacterial small subunit ribosomal RNA", at positions 524 to 776 of the family's 1533-position model. The record is from RNAcentral.
UACGGAGGGUGCAAACGUUGCUCGGCAUCAUUGGGCGUAAAGCGCACGUAGGCGGCUUUGUAAGUCGGAUGUGAAAUCCCUGGGCUUAACCGAGGAAGUGCAUUCGAAACUGCAAGGCUUGAAUACAGGAGAGGAUCGCGGAAUUCCCGGUGUAGAGGUGAAAUUCGUAGAUAUCGGGAGGAACACCAGAGGCGAAGGCGGCGAUCUGGACUGAUAUUGACGCUGAGGUGCGAAAGCGUGGGGAGCAAACAGG